Poecilia reticulata (guppy) is the source of this 1037-nucleotide long non-coding RNA. RefSeq lists it as uncharacterized. The record is from RefSeq and is a predicted model, not a curated record. Lineage: Eukaryota; Metazoa; Chordata; Actinopteri; Cyprinodontiformes; Poeciliidae.
GAGUAAUUUUUGCCUUAUCAGCCAACACUAAGGUAAAGACGACAGGCAAGAAAAUUGUCCAACGUGUCCUGCAUCAGGUCUGUAAGGUUGUUUGCGGGAAACAACGAAGAAAUCAAUGUUAAAGCCCAAGUCUUUCGCAGCUAGAGGAAGAAUGAUGAGGGGGAUAGUCUCAGUGGAUGUGAACGCUGUCUGAAGCAGUUUGCACGUACAAAACAGGGUGAAACUCCACUUAUCCUCCUCGUUUGACCUUUGCAGUGAGGAGAGAAGAUUUGCAGAGGCAACAGUCACAACUUAGACAGGUAGAGGCCAGCAAUAGCUCUGCCACACCCUAAGAGAGAGACUGAUCUGCAGCAGGAUACGAUAGAUCAAUGGCAGCAAGUGCAGCCACAGACGUCGAUAAAAGUAAAACUGAUGCUGAUCUCAUCAUUGUAUUAUUUGGUGACACAAGUUCAGUUGAGACUGGAACAAAAAACAUCUUARUUAACCAAGAUGAGCACACAGAGUUUUCAUCCAAGCUGUACGACUUGUGUGGUCGACACAUWUCUGUUAUUAACCUAAUUGGCCUGCGAGACAUUAAAGAAAUAACUCUAGAUAAGGGAAUCAAUGCCUUUCUUUUACUGAUCUCGUAUGGCCACCAUGUGAGUCAAUACAAAUCAGGGCUGCAGUGGUUGGAAAAAACUUUUGGGAGAGGAGCAAUUUAUUAUUUGAUGACAGUUUUGACUCAUAAUUCAGGCGAAAAAUAUGAAGAUGCAUUUAAAGACCUGAAAGUUUGUGACAGUUUUGUUGAAAAGAGAUACCACACAUGUACCAGGAGUAUGUCCGUCUCAGAGGAGAUAGCAGAGCUGCUGCUAAAAAUACAGACAAUGGAGGCUGAUUACAAUCCAUCCUGCUUUACUGGACUCACAUGUGGUGGAAAUAAAGAGCAAAAUAAGGAUUUGGAGCCAGAAUCUGCGGGACACAACUUGAGUUACUCAUUUGGUGCGUUUUCACAGCUGUGAAAUGUCAAUGUUAAAUUUAUUUAUAUAGCACUUAAAAAA